AUUGAUAUGCCUGAUUAAAGGAUUAUUUUGAUAGAAUAAAUUAUAUAAUUUUUUUUAUUGUCAAUA
This 66-nucleotide transfer RNA is filed under the name Cephalonomia gallicola. RNAcentral describes it as "tRNA-Ile". The record is from RNAcentral. Lineage: Eukaryota; Metazoa; Arthropoda; Insecta; Hymenoptera; Bethylidae.